GGCAUGGUUUGGCACCUCGAUGUCGGCUCGUCGCAUCCUGGGGCUGGAGUAGGUCCCAAGGGUUGGGCUGUUCGCCCAUUAAAGCGGUACGCGAGCUGGGUUUAGAACGUCGUGAGACAGUUCGGUCCCUAUCCGCUGCGUGCGUAGGAAAUUUGUGGAGGUCUGUCCUUAGUACGAGAGGACCGGGACGGACGAACCUCUGGUGUGCCAGUUGUUCCGCCAGGAGCAUGGCUGGUUGGCUACGUUCGGGAUGGAUAACCGCUGAAAGCAUCUAAGCGGGAAGCCGGCUCCGAGAUGAGAUUUCCAACUGACAUAUGUCAGGUGAGGUGUCCUAUAGAUGAUGGGGUUGAUAGGCCGGGUAUGGAAGCACUGUAAGGUGUGGAGUUGACUGGUACUAAUACACCGAUCACUCAUCAACCAUUUUCUUGUGG
Molecule: ribosomal RNA, 431 nt
Filed under: Brevibacterium sp.
Lineage: Bacteria; Bacillati; Actinomycetota; Actinomycetes; Micrococcales; Brevibacteriaceae
Description: partial 23S ribosomal RNA
Rfam family: Bacterial large subunit ribosomal RNA
Source: RNAcentral